GACGAACGCUGGCGGCGUGCUUAACACAUGCAAGUCGAACGGAAAGGCCCUGCUUUUGUGGGGUGCUCGAGUGGCGAACGGGUGAGUAACACGUGAGUAACCUGCCCUUGACUUUGGGAUAACUUCAGGAAACUGGGGCUAAUACUGGAUAGGAGCUCCUGCUGCAUGGUGGGGGUUGGAAAGUUUCGGCGGUUGGGGAUGGACUCGCGGCUUAUCAGCUUGUUGGUGGGGUAGUGGCUUACCAAGGCUUUGACGGGUAGCCGGCCUGAGAGGGUGACCGGCCACAUUGGGACUGAGAUACGGCCCAGACUCCUACGGGAGGCAGCAGUGGGGAAUAUUGCACAAUGGGCGGAAGCCUGAUGCAGCAACGCCGCGUGCGGGAUGACGGCCUUCGGGUUGUAAACCGCUUUCGCCUGUGACGAAGCGUGAGUGACGGCAAUGGGUAAAGAAGCACCGGCUAACUACGUG
This 468-nucleotide ribosomal RNA is filed under the name uncultured bacterium. RNAcentral describes it as "partial 16S ribosomal RNA". It matches the Rfam family "Bacterial small subunit ribosomal RNA", at positions 28 to 507 of the family's 1533-position model. The record is from RNAcentral.